RNAcentral lists this ribosomal RNA (168 nucleotides) under Macrotyloma uniflorum (horse gram). RNAcentral describes it as "5.8S ribosomal RNA". It matches the Rfam family "5.8S ribosomal RNA". Rfam says of the family: 5.8S ribosomal RNA (5.8S rRNA) is a component of the large subunit of the eukaryotic ribosome. It is transcribed by RNA polymerase I as part of the 45S precursor that also contains 18S and 28S rRNA. Lineage: Eukaryota; Viridiplantae; Streptophyta; Magnoliopsida; Fabales; Fabaceae. The record is from RNAcentral.
AUUUGAAAUGACUCUCGGCAACGGAUAUCUCGGCUCUUGCAUCGAUGAAGAACGUAGCGAAAUGCGAUACUUGGUGUGAAUUGCAGAAUCCCGUGAACCAUCGAGUCUUUGAACGCAAGUUGCGCCCAAAGCCAUUAGGCUGAGGGCACGCCUGCCUGGGUGUCACAC